GGCCUUAUAGUGUAGCAGUAACACAUCCUCUAUUAAUUAUUCACAAUUGGUUUAUAUUUGAGGAAGUCCCUUGUUCGAAUCAGGGUGAGGCCA
This is a non-coding RNA of Mycena leptocephala, 93 nucleotides long. The record is from the annotation of a GenBank genome assembly. NCBI's taxonomy places the organism in Eukaryota, Fungi, Basidiomycota, Agaricomycetes, Agaricales, Mycenaceae.